This 127-nucleotide non-coding RNA is filed under the name Janibacter melonis. RNAcentral describes it as "FMN sequence". It matches the Rfam family "FMN riboswitch aptamer (RFN element)". From Rfam's summary of the family: The RFN element is a highly conserved domain that is found frequently in the 5'-untranslated regions of prokaryotic mRNAs that encode for flavin mononucleotide (FMN) biosynthesis and transport proteins. The record is from Rfam by way of RNAcentral. Lineage: Bacteria; Bacillati; Actinomycetota; Actinomycetes; Micrococcales; Intrasporangiaceae.
CACGUGCCUCGUGACUCGGUGAAACUCCGAACCGGCGGUGAGAGCCCGCGACCCGGCCAUGGUGGUCGGUGAACUCUGGUGAGACCCCCAGGGCCGACGGUCAUAGUCCGGACGAGAGAGGCGCUGC